Molecule: ribosomal RNA, 253 nt
Filed under: uncultured bacterium
Lineage: Bacteria
Description: partial 16S ribosomal RNA
Rfam family: Bacterial small subunit ribosomal RNA
Source: RNAcentral
UACGUAGGGUGCAAGCGUUAGUCGGAAUUACUGGGCGUAAAGCGUGCGCAGGCGGUUCUAUAAGACAGAUGUGAAAUCCCCGGGCUCAACCUGGGCACUGCAUUUGUGACUGUAGAGCUGGAGUACGGUAGAGGGGGAUGGAAUUCCGCGUGUAGCAGUGAAAUGCGUAGAUAUGCGGAGGAACACCGAUGGCGAAGGCAAUCCCCUGGACCUGUACUGACGCUCAUGCACGAAAGCGUGGGGAGCAAACAGG